AAUAUCAAUUAUCAAUAUUGUUCUCCCUGAAGUGAAUCACUCCUAAAAUCAAACAAACAGAAUAUUUUCACUGAAAUAGCUGCAGUGAAAUUUGUUAUCAAGAAAUCGGAAACAUUCGAUCAAGAUUACCCAAAAGAGAUGACCUGACCUAACCCUACUUCACAAACACCGAAAAGUGGAAAAUGGAAUUGGAAAAGGGAACUUUCGUUAGAGAAUUCGAGAUUCCCGCAAUUUCGGAAACUCUAAAUUUCUAUCAGAAAAUUGAGGGAGAUGUCAGCUGUGUUGUUUGGGACGCGUCGAUGGUGUUAUCCAAGUAUUUAGAGAAAAAAUUCCUGGAAGAAGAGGACUUCCUCAAAGACUGCGACGUAGUUGAAUUAGGAGCAGGCUUAGGUUGCGUUGGAAUCACCGCCGCCUGCUUGGGGGCUCGAGUUAUUGCAACCGACUUGCCGGAAUGUAUUCCUCUGUUGGAUUUGAACAUCGAUAAAAACGAGCAUGUAUGGUCUAAAUAUGGACGCAUUAAAUCUGUUCCACUUAAAUGGGGUGGUGAUAAUAAUUUGGAUAUUCCAGACAGAAUACUUUUAGCCGAUUGUGUCUACUAUGAACAGAUAACUGAAAUUUCGUUGAUCGAAUUCUUCGAUGCUGCACGAGAGAUUCCAGUCCACAUCGUGAACAACAGAUUGUUCCUACUAUAAACUGGCCUCUUCCUGCGACAAAUAGGAAGUAAGAUACACUAUCUUUCAAUUCAUUCAACUCAUUCAUCUGGAUUAACGCCCACUCACUUGGUUGGGUUCCUCUUUCAACGUUACCUACAGCAGCUCCCAAUAGAAAGCCUGGGAUUGGUUGGUAGAUGUGAUUUUUCAUGGGAAUUCGAAAGCCUAUAUCUCUUUGAAGAGGUAGUACAACGUUAAACAAUAGAGGUCUACUCAGACGUGUUCAGAUACCGCCCAUGCCAAAAAUACGAUAACUUGCAAUGCAAUCGAAUUCGACAAGCUGGUUGUACACUUAUGCAUAGUACAUUUAAUGAAAGAAGAAUUCAAAAAGCAAUUGGUACAUCAAGCAUGCAGCAUGGGACAGCCUGGAGCCAAUAUCCAUCUGUUUUCGUUUAAAAAUUGCGAUGUAUUUCAUAUAAUUUUCGAAAUAAAUCAAUAAAUUCAGUA
Coccinella septempunctata (seven-spotted ladybird) is the source of this 1157-nucleotide RNA transcript. It is a transcript of the gene named protein-lysine methyltransferase METTL21D-like, with no coding region annotated. The transcript has 6 exons. The record is from RefSeq and is a predicted model, not a curated record. NCBI's taxonomy places the organism in Eukaryota, Metazoa, Arthropoda, Insecta, Coleoptera, Coccinellidae.